Molecule: ribosomal RNA, 425 nt
Filed under: uncultured bacterium
Lineage: Bacteria
Also listed under: 1 other name
Description: bacterial SSU rRNA
Rfam family: Bacterial small subunit ribosomal RNA
Source: RNAcentral
GUGGGGAAUAUUGCACAAUGGGGGAAACCCUGAUGCAGCGACGCCGCGUGGAGGAAGAAGGUCUUCGGAUUGUAAACUCCUGUUGUUGAGGAAGAUAAUGACGGUACUCAACAAGGAAGUGACGGCUAACUACGUGCCAGCAGCCGCGGUAAAACGUAGGUCACAAGCGUUGUCCGGAAUUACUGGGUGUAAAGGGAGCGCAGGCGGGAGAACAAGUUGGAAGUGAAAUCCAUGGGCUCAACCCAUGAACUGCUUUCAAAACUGUUUUUCUUGAGUAGUGCAGAGGUAGGCGGAAUUCCCGGUGUAGCGGUGGAAUGCGUAGAUAUCGGGAGGAACACCAGUGGCGAAGGCGGCCUACUGGGCACCAACUGACGCUGAGGCUCGAAAGUGUGGGUAGCAAACAGGAUUAGAAACCCCAGUAGUCC